RNAcentral lists this ribosomal RNA (408 nucleotides) under uncultured bacterium. Its description in RNAcentral is "partial 16S ribosomal RNA". It matches the Rfam family "Bacterial small subunit ribosomal RNA", at positions 28 to 526 of the family's 1533-position model. The record is from RNAcentral.
GACGAACGCUGGCGACGUGCUUAACACAUGCAAGUCGAACGAAGUGGCGAACGGGUGAGUAACGCGUAAUCAACCUGCCCUUCAGAGGGGGACAACAGUUGGAAACGACUGCUAAUACCGCAUACUGAAGGAGGGGAUUGCGUCUGAUUAGCUAGUUGGAGGGGUAACGGCCCACCAAGGCGAUGAUCAGUAGCCGGUCUGGAAGGAUGAACGGCCACAUUGGGACUGGGGCACGGCCCAGACUCCUACGGGAGGCAAGAGUGGGGGAUCUUCCGCAAUGGACGAAAGUCUGGCGGAGCAACGCCGGGUGAAUGGUGACGGCCUUCGGGUUGGAAAGCUCUGUUAAUCGGGACGCGGUACCGGAAUAGAAAGCCACGGCUAACUACGUGCCAGCAGCCGCGGUAAUAC